ACGAGAAGACCCCAUGGAGCUUUAAACCCAACAACACCCGCCCCCCUCCAAAUCCUAUUAUGUGCCCGGUGACUGUUUGUUCGGUUUUAGGUUGGGGUGACCGCGGAGUAUAAGAUAUCCUCCAUGAAAAAAAGCUAACUGCCCUUAUUAGAGAAAGACACUUCCAAAAAAUAAUAAAUUAAUUUUAAAUGAUCCGACAUUCGAUCAACGAACCAAGUUACCCUGGGGAUAACAGCGCAAUCCGUCCCGAGAGCCCCUAUCGACAGGCGGGUUUACGACCUCGAUGUUGGAUCAGGGUAUCCUAGUGGUGCAGCAGCUACUAAAGGUUCGUUUGUUCAACGAUUAA
Molecule: ribosomal RNA, 346 nt
Filed under: Boophis madagascariensis (Madagascar bright-eyed frog)
Lineage: Eukaryota; Metazoa; Chordata; Amphibia; Anura; Mantellidae
Description: partial 16S ribosomal RNA
Rfam family: Bacterial large subunit ribosomal RNA
Source: RNAcentral